AUGAACGCUGGCGGCGUGCCUAAUACAUGCAAGUCGAGCGAACGGACGAGAAGCUUGCUUCUCUGAUGUUAGCGGCGGACGGGUGAGUAACACGUGGAUAACCUACCUAUAAGACUGGGAUAACUUCGGGAAACCGUAGCUAAUACCGGAUAAUAUUUUGAACCGCAUGGUUCAAAAGUGAAAGACGGUCUUGCUGUCACUUAUAGAUGGAUCCGCGCUGCAUUAGCUAGUUGGUAAGGUAACGGCUUACCAAGGCAACGAUGCAUAGCCGACCUGAGAGGGGGAUCGGCCACACUGGAGCUGAGACACGGUCCAGACUCCUACGGGAGGCAGCAGUAGGGAAUCUUCCGCAAUGGGCGAAAGCCUGACGGAGCAACGCCGCGUGAGUGAUGAAGGUCUUCGGAUCGUAAAACUCUGUUAUUAGGGAAGAACAUAUGUGUAAGUAACUGUGCACAUCUUGACGGUACCUAAUCAGAAAGCCACGGCUAACUACGUG
RNAcentral lists this ribosomal RNA (496 nucleotides) under uncultured bacterium. RNAcentral describes it as "partial 16S ribosomal RNA". It matches the Rfam family "Bacterial small subunit ribosomal RNA", at positions 29 to 507 of the family's 1533-position model. The record is from RNAcentral.